RNAcentral lists this transfer RNA (85 nucleotides) under Alphaproteobacteria bacterium. RNAcentral's name for it is "tRNA-Leu". It matches the Rfam family "tRNA". Rfam says of the family: Transfer RNA (tRNA) molecules are approximately 80 nucleotides in length. Their secondary structure includes four short double-helical elements and three loops (D, anti-codon, and T loops). Further hydrogen bonds mediate the characteristic L-shaped molecular structure. tRNAs have two regions of fundamental functional importance: the anti-codon, which is responsible for specific mRNA codon recognition, and the 3' end, to which the tRNAs corresponding amino acid is attached (by aminoacyl-tRNA synthetases). tRNAs cope with the degeneracy of the genetic code in two manners: having more than one tRNA (with a specific anti-codon) for a particular amino acid; and 'wobble' base-pairing, i.e. permitting non-standard base-pairing at the 3rd anti-codon position. Lineage: Bacteria; Pseudomonadati; Pseudomonadota; Alphaproteobacteria. The record is from RNAcentral. RNAcentral also lists the same sequence under 1 other name.
GCGGAUGUGGCGAAAUUGGCAGACGCACCAGAUUUAGGUUCUGGCGCCGCAAGGCGUGAAGGUUCAAGUCCUUUCAUCCGCACCA